UUCAUAGCUCAGUUGGUAGAGCAGAGGACUGAAAAUCCUUGUGUCAGUGGUUCAAUUCCACUUGAA
Molecule: transfer RNA, 66 nt
Filed under: chicken gut metagenome
Rfam family: tRNA
About the family: Transfer RNA (tRNA) molecules are approximately 80 nucleotides in length. Their secondary structure includes four short double-helical elements and three loops (D, anti-codon, and T loops).
Source: RNAcentral